CCUACGGGUGGCAGCGGUGGGGAAUAUUGGACAAUGGGGGGAACCCUGAUCCAGCCAUGCCGCGUGUGUGAAGAAGGCCCUCGGGUUGUAAAGCACUUUCAGUGAGGAAGAACGCCUGGUGGUUAAUACCCAUCAGGAAAGACAUCACUCACAGAAGAAGCACCGGCUAACUCCGUGCCAGCAGCCGCGGUAAUACGGAGGGUGCGAGCGUUAAUCGGAAUUACUGGGCGUAAAGCGCGCGUAGGUGGCUUGAUAAGCCGGUUGUGAAAGCCCCGGGCUCAACCUGGGAACGGCAUCCGGAACUGUCAAGCUAGAGUGCAGGAGAGGAAGGUAGAAUUCCCGGUGUAGCGGUGAAAUGCGUAGAGAUCGGGAGGAAUACCAGUGGCGAAGGCGGCCUUCUGGACUGACACUGACACUGAGGUGCGAAAGCGUGGGUAGCAAACAGGAUUAGAUACCCGGGUAGUC
RNAcentral lists this ribosomal RNA (465 nucleotides) under Vreelandella stevensii. RNAcentral's name for it is "partial 16S ribosomal RNA". It matches the Rfam family "Bacterial small subunit ribosomal RNA", at positions 338 to 795 of the family's 1533-position model. Lineage: Bacteria; Pseudomonadati; Pseudomonadota; Gammaproteobacteria; Oceanospirillales; Halomonadaceae. The record is from RNAcentral.